GCGAUGGAUAUGGAAGAGAGCCUUGCUAAAAGGCCGCCGAAGGGACAAGUCUUGAUUUACCCAAAAGGAUCAAGGUGAAAUUCUCAGGCAAAAGGACCAUAUUCGGACA
RNAcentral lists this non-coding RNA (109 nucleotides) under Peptoclostridium acidaminophilum. Its description in RNAcentral is "Glycine sequence". It matches the Rfam family "Glycine riboswitch aptamer". From Rfam's summary of the family: This family represents the bacterial glycine riboswitch. Glycine riboswitches usually consist of two metabolite-binding aptamers domains with similar structures in tandem. The aptamers cooperatively bind glycine to regulate the expression of downstream genes. Lineage: Bacteria; Bacillati; Bacillota; Clostridia; Peptostreptococcales; Peptoclostridiaceae. The record is from RNAcentral. RNAcentral also lists the same sequence under 1 other name.